UGUUUAGUUGUAAUCUUAGCUGGAGAGCAAAAGUGGUUAACGUAAAGUAUAUGAACAGUCGUUGUCGCCUACUAGAUGAGCUGUAAGGAUCAGUACUCAAACUGCAUACGCUUUUGAUCAAUCAAUUAGAGCAUGUAGUUUUACCAUUCUUUAGGACAAACCAAAAGCAUUUUGAUUUUAGUUACCUAUAGAAGAGAAACGGUUUUGUUUUCUACUUCACAGUCAAUAUAGGCAACUCAACGUCCACUUCAGAGACUUUCCUGCUACCGUAGAAAAGAAAAGAACGUAUCAAUCUUGUCUGCAUCUCAGACAUAUGUUUGCUUGCUUUUAAAAAAAUGUGUAUUGGCCAUUUGAUGUUGAAACUUCUGCAAAGUGAAAGUUUUUCUUACAGUUUGUUAUCUUUGAUCGUUUGUAGGUAUUUUAUUCUUUUGUGUUUCCAUUUUACAAAAGGACACAGAAGUUUAAGCCUAGUCAUUUUAAUUGUCUCUAUCAUUUGCUUGUUAAGCAUAUAUUUAAUUAUGAAUGCGGUAUGCUUAUUAUGUCACUAGUUGUUUCGACUAUGUAAUUAAGCAAAACUAUUUUAAUAAACUUUGAAAACGAAAGAAAAUGUUAAAAAAGCUUUACUAAUCUUGAGUUGGAUUCCAUAUCAAAUUUUAUCGGCCCUCCGACAAAAGAAAAGGCUGGCCAGAUGGAAAGUAAUAGUAAAUGUGUAACGGGUUUAAAGUGAGUGACAAAUCUACACUCACUUUUACCAAAAAAAAAAUUCUACACUCACUGAAAACAUAAUAAUUAAGUCUAUUUAAAUGGUGGGUUUAUGGGGGCAUGAAACUAUAAAAUGAUAUCAUUUGAUCAUGCGAGAUUAGGUAAAACGAAACAAUCAGGCUAAAAUCCAAAGUGAUUGUAAGCCGCCUAUCUUUUCUUUUUUCGUAAAAAGAUUUUCUAUUAAAAUGCAAGAGAAAGAAAAGGGUUACGGAGUUUUUACUCAGUGGCCAAGUGGCCUACAUAUUAUGGAAACAAACUUGAAUCCUCACAAAGUGUAGUUUAGAUGAGUAGAAGAAGCGUAGCUAGCAAUUAGUUAGGAGAGCCAUAACUGCAUCAGUGUGGAGAAGAAGAUUGGCCUAUCGAAUCUCAAGCUAGAGAUUCUGAUUUUUAACUGUGACUUUGAUCUGUUUGAGAAGGCCUUCCGUUGAGGAAAAGAGCCGCCUAUCUUUUCCUUACAGUGUUGUAAUACAUGUGUGUGUUUUCUUCUCUCCAACCCGUAUAGUUAA
This 1268-nucleotide long non-coding RNA is filed under the name Brassica rapa (field mustard). RNAcentral describes it as "long non-coding RNA (BRAP_LNC004122)". The record is from RNAcentral. Lineage: Eukaryota; Viridiplantae; Streptophyta; Magnoliopsida; Brassicales; Brassicaceae.